This 253-nucleotide ribosomal RNA is filed under the name uncultured bacterium. Its description in RNAcentral is "partial 16S ribosomal RNA". It matches the Rfam family "Bacterial small subunit ribosomal RNA", at positions 524 to 776 of the family's 1533-position model. The record is from RNAcentral.
UACGUAGGGGGCUAGCGUUGUCCGGAUUUAUUGGGCGUAAAGCGCGCGCAGGCGGUCUUUUAAGUCUGAUGUGAAAGCCCACGGCUCAACCGUGGAGGGUCAUUGGAAACUGGGGGACUUGAGUGCAGGAGAGAAGAGUGGAAUUCCACGUGUAGCGGUGAAAUGCGUAGAGAUGUGGAGGAACACCAGUGGCGAAGGCGGCAUCCUGGACCAACACUGACGCUGAUGAGCGAAAGCCAGGGGAGCAAACGGG